This 497-nucleotide ribosomal RNA is filed under the name uncultured bacterium. RNAcentral describes it as "partial 16S ribosomal RNA". It matches the Rfam family "Bacterial small subunit ribosomal RNA", at positions 28 to 507 of the family's 1533-position model. The record is from RNAcentral.
GAUGAACGCUGGCGGCGUGCCUAAUACAUGCAAGUCGAGCGAACGGACGCGACGCUUGUUGCGUGGUCGUUAGGGGCGCGCGGGUGUAAAACACGUGUAAAACGUCCCUAAAAGACGGGGAAAAUUUGGGAACUCGGGAGCUAAUCGGGGAGAAUAUUUUGAACCACGGGGUGGAAAGGAAAGAUUCGGCGUUGGUGUAUGUACUAGCGGCUUCGGCGCUGCAUUGGCUGGUAGUGAAGUUAAAGGGUUACCAAGGCAAGGAUGCAUAGCCGACCGAAGAGGGUGAUCGGCCACACUGGAACGGAGCCACGGUCCAGACUCCUACGGGAGGCAGCAGUCGGGAAUGUUACGCAAUGGGCGAAAGCCUGACGCAGCAACGCCGCGUGUGUGAUGAAGGCCUUCGGAUCGGAAAACCCUGUUAUUAGGGAAGAACAGAUGUGUACUUAGAUGUGGAGAUCGUGACGGUACCUAAUCAGAAAGCCCCGGCUAACUACGUG